GACGAACGCNGGCGGCGUGCUUAACACAUGCAAGUCGAACGAAGAGCGAUGGAAGCUUGCUUCUAUCAAUCUUAGUGGCGAACGGGUGAGUAACGCGUAAUCAACCUGCCCUUCAGAGGGGGACAACAGUUGGAAACGACUGCUAAUACCGCAUACGAUCUAACCUCGGCAUCGAGGAUAGAUGAAAGGUGGCCUCUACAUGCAAGCUAUCACUGAAGGAGGGGAUUGCGUCUGAUUAGCUAGUUGGAGGGGUAACGGCCCACCAAGGCGACGAUCAGUAGCCGGUCUGAGAGGAUGAACGGCCACAUUGGGACUGAGACACGGCCCAGACUCCUACGGGAGGCAGCAGUGGGGAAUCUUCCGCAAUGGACGAAAGUCUGACGGAGCAACGCCGCGUGAGUGAUGACGGCCUUCGGGUUGUAAAGNUCUGUUAAUCGGGACGAAAGNCCUUCUUGCGAAUAGUNAGAAGGAUGACGUACC
This 480-nucleotide ribosomal RNA is filed under the name uncultured bacterium. Its description in RNAcentral is "bacterial SSU rRNA". It matches the Rfam family "Bacterial small subunit ribosomal RNA", at positions 28 to 479 of the family's 1533-position model. The record is from RNAcentral.